This 1139-nucleotide long non-coding RNA is filed under the name Homo sapiens (human). RNAcentral's name for it is "long intergenic non-protein coding RNA 1060". The record is from RNAcentral. Lineage: Eukaryota; Metazoa; Chordata; Mammalia; Primates; Hominidae.
AGACAUCUGGGCAAGUCAACAGGAAGGUGGAUAUCCAAAUCUCUCUCUUCGCAAUGAGUUUCCAGUUAGAUGGAGGAGAGAGUAAUAAAACACAGAGCUGAGAUUCCUGACUUCACAGAUCCCUGAGGAGAUGUUUACUAAAGGGAAUCUUCUGGUCACUGUUACCUUCCUCCGUACUUACCUGCCUCAUGGAUAACACUGAAGAAUGCAGUUUACUUACAUCUUUUUCUGUUUGACAGAAGACAGUUAUUAGUUACCCUUGGGACAUCAAAAUGACCAAGGCAGUGUCUGCUAAGUAUUUGCUGAGACUCUGCUAUGAUUCUUUCAAGUCUAAAGACAGUUAUCUGAAUGAUAUCCCCGUGACAGUGGACUCCUGCACAUUCACAGUCCUGGAAGGAGCCUGUCCACAUUGGCAUUCUGGAAGUCCAUAAAAGACAAACGCAUAUGCAGUCCCCGAGAAAGCAUUGUUGUAAACAAAUCUGCACUAGAUGGAAACUCUGUUAUGUGGUGCCGGCAUGCAUGGAAGAGAACCCGAAAGGAAGAAGCUAUACGACUGGGGACACAUGUCUUAGAAGCACACUCAUUAGAUAAAGUGUCGCAUACUCUUUGAUAAGAAACUCCAGGCUGUCACCCAUCUGUUCUCUCAUCAAAGUAGUUUUGGGCCAGCAACUAUUUCAGACAUUUCUACAGUUUCAGAUGUCUCACUCUGCCUAUGACUGUAUGUUGUACUUGAGGACUGGACGCACAGGGUAAAGUGCAAAUAGCAAGCAUUCAGGUCCAACUCUCCUCCUUCUGGUUAACAAUAUGAAAGAAAGAGGUAGUAUCGGAAUUAUUUUAGUUCAAUGUAGCCAUUAUAAAAUGUGUAUAUAUUUUAAAACAUCAUGUGGUACAUGAUAAAUAUAUACAACUUUUAUUUUUCAAUAAAAAAUUAUAAAAAAAGUCAUCAAACCUGAUUUCUCAUACUACUUUUUUGGUAACACUCAUCACACCAAAGACUUAUUAUUUUAAAAUGUUAUUUUUCAUAAUUAAUUUCUUAUUAAUUUUAUAGGCUAGAUUUUAAUUGUUAUGUCUAAAUAGUAGUGUCUGGUACGUGGUAGAUAAUCAAUGUGACUUGAAUAAAUGAAUAAGUCUGUUAACGA